Molecule: long non-coding RNA, 240 nt
Organism: Carassius carassius (crucian carp)
Lineage: Eukaryota; Metazoa; Chordata; Actinopteri; Cypriniformes; Cyprinidae
Exons: 2
Source: RefSeq, a predicted model, not a curated record
GGACGUCUCAUGAGAAAACUGCACCUCUGAUCCCAACAGGGAAAAAAAAGCCUUUCUUAUGAGUAGAAGAUUUUGUAAUAUCUAUGUUUGUAUUAAAGGCAGGUUUAUUUUAUGAUACAAUUAGAUAAGUUUUGAAAAACACUACACUACUGGUCAAAAGUGCGGAAUAAUUAUGCUUUUGAAUGUUUUUGAUAGAAGGCUCACCAAGGCUUCAUUCAUUAACAGUAAACAUGGUGACAU